This 1252-nucleotide long non-coding RNA is filed under the name Monodelphis domestica (gray short-tailed opossum). Its description in RNAcentral is "lncRNA (ENSMODG00000050895.1)". Lineage: Eukaryota; Metazoa; Chordata; Mammalia; Didelphimorphia; Didelphidae. The record is from RNAcentral.
UUGAAUAAUUUGUUCAGCUAUUCCCCAAUUGAUGGGCAUCCCCUCAUUUUCCAAUUUUUGGCCACCACAAAGAGCACAGCUAUGAAUAUUCUUGUACAAGUCUUUUUCCUUAUUAUCUCUUUGGGGUACAAACCCAGCAGCUCAGCUACAAAUAUUCUUGUACAAGUCUUUUUCCUUAUUAUCUCUUUGGGGUACAAACCCAGCAGUGCUAUGGCUGGAUCAAAGGGCAGACAGUCUUUUAUUGCCCUUUGGGCAUAGUUCCAAAUUGCCCUCCAGAAUGGUUGGAUCAGUUCACAACUCCACCAGCAAUGAAUUAAUAUCCCUACUUUGCCGCAUCCCCUCCAGCAUUCAUUACUUUCCAUAGCUGUCAUGUUAGCCAAUCUGCUAGGUGUGAGGUGAUACCUCAGAGUUGUUUUGAUUUGCAUCUCUCUGAUUAUAAGAGAUGUAGAGCACUUUUUCAUGUGCUUAUUAAUAGUUUUGAUUUCUUUGGCUGAGAACUGCCUGUUCACGUCCCUUGCCCAUUUAUCAAUUGGAGAAUGGCUUGAUUUUUUGUAUAAUUGAUUUAGCUCUUUGUAAAUUUGAGUAAUUAAACCUUUGUCAGAGGUUUUUAUGAAGAUUGCUUCCCAAUUUGUUGCUUUCCUUCUGAUUUUAGUUAUAUUGGUUUUGUUUGUACAAAAGCUUUUUAAUUUGAUGUAGUUGAAAUAAUUUAUUUUACAUUUUGUGACUCUUUCUAUGUCUUGCUUGGUUUCAAAGUCGUUCCCUUCCCAAAGGUCUGACAUGUAUACUAUUCUCUGUUUACCUAAUUUACUUAUAGUUUCCUUCUUUAUGUUCAUGUCAGUCACACAUUUUGAAUUUAUCUUGGUGUAGGGUGUGAGGUGUUGAUCUAAUCCUAAUGUCUCCCAUACUGUCUUCCAGUUUUCCCAGCAGUUUUUAUCGAAUAGUGGAUUUUUGACCCAAAAGCUGGGAUCUUUGGGUUUAUCAUAUAUUGUCUUGCUGAGAUCACUUGCCCCCAGUCUAUUCCACUGAUCCUCCUUGCUGUCUCUUAGCCAGUACCACUUUGUUUUGAUGACUGCUGCUUUGUAAUAUAGUUUGAGAUCUGGGACUGCAAGGCCCCCUUCCUUUGUAUUUUUUUUCAUUAUUUCCCUGGAUAUCCUUGAUCCUUUGUUUUUCCAAAUGAACUUUUUUUGGUUUUUUCUAAAUCAGUAAAGAAAUUUUUUGGAAGUUCUAUGGGUAUGGCACUAAAUAGAUAGAU